GGGUUGUGAGGUUAAGCGACUAAGCGUACACGGUGGAUGCCCUGGCAGUCAGAGGCGAUGAAGGACGUGCUAAUCUGCGAUAAGCGUCGGUAAGGUGAUAUGAACCGUUAUAACCGGCGAUUUCCGAAUGGGGAAACCCAGUGUGUUUCGACACACUAUCAUUAACUGAAUCCAUAGGUUAAUGAGGCGAACCGGGGGAACUGAAACAUCUAAGUACCCCGAGGAAAAGAAAUCAACCGAGAUUCCCCCAGUAGCGGCGAGCGAACGGGGAGCAGCCCAGAGCCUGAAUCAGUGUGUGUGUUAGUGGAAGCGUCUGGAAAGGCGCGCGAUACAGGGUGACAGCCCCGUACACAAAAAUGCACAUGCUGUGAGCUCGAUGAGUAGGGCGGGACACGUGGUAUCCUGUCUGAAUAUGGGGGGACCAUCCUCCAAGGCUAAAUACUCCUGACUGACCGAUAGUGAACCAGUACCGUGAGGGAAAGGCGAAAAGAACCCCGGCGAGGGGAGUGAAAAAGAACCUGAAACCGUGUACGUACAAGCAGUGGGAGCACGCUUAGGCGUGUGACUGCGUACCUUUUGUAUAAUGGGUCAGCGACUUAUAUUCUGUAGCAAGGUUAACCGAAUAGGGGAGCCGAAGGGAAACCGAGUCUUAACUGGGCGUUAAGUUGCAGGGUAUAGACCCGAAACCCGGUGAUCUAGCCAUGGGCAGGUUGAAGGUUGGGUAACACUAACUGGAGGACCGAACCGACUAAUGUUGAAAAAUUAGCGGAUGACUUGUGGCUGGGGGUGAAAGGCCAAUCAAACCGGGAGAUAGCUGGUUCUCCCCGAAAGCUAUUUAGGUAGCGCCUCGUGAAUUCAUCUCCGGGGGUAGAGCACUGUUUCGGCAAGGGGGUCAUCCCGACUUACCAACCCGAUGCAAACUGCGAAUACCGGAGAAUGUUAUCACGGGAGACACACGGCGGGUGCUAACGUCCGUCGUGAAGAGGGAAACAACCCAGACCGCCAGCUAAGGUCCCAAAGUCAUGGUUAAGUGGGAAACGAUGUGGGAAGGCCCAGACAGCCAGGAUGUUGGCUUAGAAGCAGCCAUCAUUUAAAGAAAGCGUAAUAGCUCACUGGUCGAGUCGGCCUGCGCGGAAGAUGUAACGGGGCUAAACCAUGCACCGAAGCUGCGGCAGCGACGCUGAUGCGUUGUUGGGUAGGGGAGCGUUCUGUAAGCCUGCGAAGGUGUGCUGUGAGGCAUGCUGGAGGUAUCAGAAGUGCGAAUGCUGACAUAAGUAACGAUAAAGCGGGUGAAAAGCCCGCUCGCCGGAAGACCAAGGGUUCCUGUCCAACGUUAAUCGGGGCAGGGUGAGUCGACCCCUAAGGCGAGGCCGAAAGGCGUAGUCGAUGGGAAACAGGUUAAUAUUCCUGUACUUGGUGUUACUGCGAAGGGGGGACGGAGAAGGCUAUGUUGGCCGGGCGACGGUUGUCCCGGUUUAAGCGUGUAGGCUGGUUUUCCAGGCAAAUCCGGAAAAUCAAGGCUGAGGCGUGAUGACGAGGCACUACGGUGCUGAAGCAACAAAUGCCCUGCUUCCAGGAAAAGCCUCUAAGCAUCAGGUAACAUCAAAUCGUACCCCAAACCGACACAGGUGGUCAGGUAGAGAAUACCAAGGCGCUUGAGAGAACUCGGGUGAAGGAACUAGGCAAAAUGGUGCCGUAACUUCGGGAGAAGGCACGCUGAUAUGUAGGUGAAGUCCCUCGCGGAUGGAGCUGAAAUCAGUCGAAGAUACCAGCUGGCUGCAACUGUUUAUUAAAAACACAGCACUGUGCAAACACGAAAGUGGACGUAUACGGUGUGACGCCUGCCCGGUGCCGGAAGGUUAAUUGAUGGGGUUAGCGCAAGCGAAGCUCUUGAUCGAAGCCCCGGUAAACGGCGGCCGUAACUAUAACGGUCCUAAGGUAGCGAAAUUCCUUGUCGGGUAAGUUCCGACCUGCACGAAUGGCGUAAUGAUGGCCAGGCUGUCUCCACCCGAGACUCAGUGAAAUUGAACUCGCUGUGAAGAUGCAGUGUACCCGCGGCAAGACGGAAAGACCCCGUGAACCUUUACUAUAGCUUGACACUGAACAUUGAGCCUUGAUGUGUAGGAUAGGUGGGAGGCUUAGAAGUGUGGACGCCAGUCUGCAUGGAGCCGACCUUGAAAUACCACCCUUUAAUGUUUGAUGUUCUAACGUUGACCCGUAAUCCGGGUUGCGGACAGUGUCUGGUGGGUAGUUUGACUGGGGCGGUCUCCUCCUAAAGAGUAACGGAGGAGCACGAAGGUUGGCUAAUCCUGGUCGGACAUCAGGAGGUUAGUGCAAUGGCAUAAGCCAGCUUGACUGCGAGCGUGACGGCGCGAGCAGGUGCGAAAGCAGGUCAUAGUGAUCCGGUGGUUCUGAAUGGAAGGGCCAUCGCUCAACGGAUAAAAGGUACUCCGGGGAUAACAGGCUGAUACCGCCCAAGAGUUCAUAUCGACGGCGGUGUUUGGCACCUCGAUGUCGGCUCAUCACAUCCUGGGGCUGAAGUAGGUCCCAAGGGUAUGGCUGUUCGCCAUUUAAAGUGGUACGCGAGCUGGGUUUAGAACGUCGUGAGACAGUUCGGUCCCUAUCUGCCGUGGGCGCUGGAGAACUGAGGGGGGCUGCUCCUAGUACGAGAGGACCGGAGUGGACGCAUCACUGGUGUUCGGGUUGUCAUGCCAAUGGCACUGCCCGGUAGCUAAAUGCGGAAGAGAUAAGUGCUGAAAGCAUCUAAGCACGAAACUUGCCCCGAGAUGAGUUCUCCCUGACUCCUUGAGAGUCCUGAAGGAACGUUGAAGACGACGACGUUGAUAGGCCGGGUGUGUAAGCGCAGCGAUGCGUUGAGCUAACCGGUACUAAUGAACCGUGAGGCUUAACCUUACAACGCCGAAGCUGUU
This 2930-nucleotide ribosomal RNA is filed under the name Escherichia coli. RNAcentral describes it as "23S ribosomal RNA". It matches the Rfam family "Bacterial large subunit ribosomal RNA". Lineage: Bacteria; Pseudomonadati; Pseudomonadota; Gammaproteobacteria; Enterobacterales; Enterobacteriaceae. The record is from RNAcentral.